UACGGGGGGGGCAAGCGUUGUUCGGAAUUACUGGGCGUAAAGGGCUCGUAGGCGGCCAACUAAGUCAAACGUGAAAUCCCUCGGCUUAACCGGGGAACUGCGCUUGAUACUGGAUGGCUUGAGAUUGGGAGAGGGAUGCGGAAUUCCAGGUGUAGCGGUGAAAUGCGUAGAUAUCUGGAGGAACACCGGUGGCGAAGGCGGCAUCCUGGACCAACACUGAUGCUGAGGAGCGAAAGCCAGGGGAGCAAACGGG
RNAcentral lists this ribosomal RNA (253 nucleotides) under uncultured bacterium. Its description in RNAcentral is "partial 16S ribosomal RNA". It matches the Rfam family "Bacterial small subunit ribosomal RNA", at positions 524 to 776 of the family's 1533-position model. The record is from RNAcentral.